ACGCCGCGUGGGGGAAGAAGGUUUUURGAUUGUAAACCCCUUUUCUCAGGGAAGAAGUUCUGACGGUACCUGAGGAAUCAGCCUCGGCUAACUCCGUGCCAGCAGCCGCGGUAAUACGGAGGAGGCAAGCGUUAUCCGGAAUUAUUGGGCGUAAAGCGUUCGUAGGUGGCGGUUCAAGUCGGCUGUCAAAGACCGGGGCUCAACUCCGGAAAGGCAGUGGAAACUGAACAGCUAGAGUUCGGUAGGGGUAGAGGGAAUUCCCGGUGUAGCGGUGAAAUGCGUAGAGAUCGGGAAGAACACCGGCGGCGAAAGCGCUCUACUAGGCCGAAACUGACACUGAGGGACGAAAGCUAGGGGAGCGAAUGGGAUUAGAUACCCCAGUAGUCCUAGCCGUAAACGAUGGAGACUAGGUGUAGCCUGUAUCGACCCGGGCUGUGCCGUAGCUAACGCGCUAARUCUCCCGCCUGGGGAGUACGCACGCAAGUGUGAAACUCAAAGGAAUUGACGGGGGCCCGCACAAGCGGUGGAGUAUGUGGUUUAAUUCGAUGCAACGCGAAGAACCUUACCAGGGCUUGACAUGUCGCGAACCAGUUGGAAACAGCUGGGUGCCUAAGGGAACGCGARCACAGGUGGUGCAUGGCUGUCGUCAGCUCGUGUCGUGAGAUGUUGGGUUAAGUCCCGCAACGAGCGCAACCCUCGUCCUUAGUUGCCAUCAUUAAGUUGGGCACUUUAGGGAGACUGCCGGUGAUAAACCGGAGGAAGGUGGGGAUGACGUCAAGUCAGCAUGCCCCUUAUGUCCUGGGCGACACACGUACUAYAAUGGUAGGGACAACGGGCAGCCAACCUGCAAAGGAGAGCUAAUCCCUAAAACCCUGCCUCAGUUCAGAUUGCAGGCUGCAACUCGCCUGCAUGAAGGAGGAAUCGCUAGUAAUCGCAGGUCAGCAUACUGCGGUGAAUCCGUUCCCGGGCCUUGUACACACCGCCCGUCACACCAUGGAAGUUGGCCAUGCCCGAAGUCAUUACUCUAACCUCUAUGGGGAGGAGGGUGCCGRAGGCAAGGGCUAGUAGUGG
Molecule: ribosomal RNA, 1071 nt
Filed under: Lyngbya confervoides LC14
Lineage: Bacteria; Bacillati; Cyanobacteriota; Cyanophyceae; Oscillatoriales; Microcoleaceae
Description: bacterial SSU rRNA
Rfam family: Bacterial small subunit ribosomal RNA
Source: RNAcentral